CCUACGGGUGGCAGCAGUGAGGAAUAUUGGUCAAUGGACGAGAGUCUGAACCAGCCAAGUAGCGUGAAGGAUGACUGCCCUAUGGGUUGUAAACUUCUUUUAUAUGGGAAUAAAACGUUCCACGUGUGGGAUUUUGUAUGUACCAUAUGAAUAAGGAUCGGCUAACUCCGUGCCAGCAGCCGCGGUAAUACGGAGGCGCCGAGCGUUAUCCGGAUUUAUUGGGUUUAAAGGGAGCGUAGGUGGAUUGUUAAGGCAGGUGUGAAAGUUUGCGGCUGAACCGUAAAAUUGCAGUUGAAACUGGCAGUCUUGAGUGCAGGAGAGGUGGGCGGAAUUCGUGGUGUAGCGGUGAAAUGCUUAGAUAUCACGAAGAACUCCGAUUGCGAAGGCAGUUCACUGGACUGCAACUGACACUGAGGCUCGAAAGUGUGGGUAUCAAACAGGAUUAGAUACCCUGGUAGUC
This 460-nucleotide ribosomal RNA is filed under the name uncultured bacterium. RNAcentral's name for it is "partial 16S ribosomal RNA". It matches the Rfam family "Bacterial small subunit ribosomal RNA", at positions 338 to 795 of the family's 1533-position model. The record is from RNAcentral.